This 552-nucleotide ribosomal RNA is filed under the name uncultured bacterium. Its description in RNAcentral is "bacterial SSU rRNA". It matches the Rfam family "Bacterial small subunit ribosomal RNA", at positions 228 to 795 of the family's 1533-position model. The record is from RNAcentral.
AGGCUAUGGCUAAUCAGCUUGUUGGUGAGGUAAAAGCUCACCAAGGCAAUGACGAGUAGCGGGCGUAAGAGCGUGACCCGUCCCACUGGAACUGAGACACUGUCCAGACUCCUACGGGAGGCUGCAGUCAAGAAUCUUUCGCAAUGGCCGAAAGGCUGACGGAGCAAUACCGCGUGAAGGAAGACACCCCUCGGGGCGUAAACUUCUUUUCUUAGGGAAGAAUUAGUGACGUUACCUAAGGAAUAAGCAACUGCUAACUUCGUGCCAGCAGCAGCGGUAAUACGAAGGUUGCAAGCGUUAUCCGGAAUCAUUGGGCGUAAAGCGUCUGUAGGAUGUUUACCAAGUCUCAAAUUAAAACUCUAGGCUCAACCUAGAGCUAGUUUGAGAAACUGAUAAACUAGAGACUGGGGGAGGCAAGCGGAAUGGCCGGUGUAGUAGUAAUAUGCAUUGAUAUCGGCUAGAACACCAAAUGCGAAGGCAGCUUGCUAUAACAGUCCUGACUCUGAGAGACGAAAGCGUGGGUAGCGAAUGGGAUUAGAUUUCUUGGUAGUC